This 372-nucleotide ribosomal RNA is filed under the name uncultured bacterium. Its description in RNAcentral is "bacterial SSU rRNA". It matches the Rfam family "Bacterial small subunit ribosomal RNA", at positions 29 to 385 of the family's 1533-position model. The record is from RNAcentral.
AACGAACGCUGGCGGCGUGCCUAACACAUGCAAGUCGUGCGAGAAAGUUCCUUCGGGAGCGAGUAAAGCGGCGCACGGGUGAGUAACACGUAGGUAACCUGCCCCCCAGUCUGGAACAACUAGAGGAAACUCUAGCUAAUGCCGGAUGAGACCACGAUCCCUUCGGGGGUUGCGGCCAAAGAUGGCCUCUACUUGUAAGCUAUCGCUGAGGGAUGGGCCUGCGGGCCAUUAGCUUGUUGGUGAGGUAACGGCUCACCAAGGCUGUGAUGGCUAGCUGGUCUGAGAGGAUGACCAGCCACACUGGGACUGAGACACGGCCCAGACUCCUACGGAGGCAGCAGUGGGGAAUAUUGCGCAAUGGGCGAAAGCCUA